UACGGAGGAUGCGAGCGUUAUUCGGAUUUAUUGGGUUUAAAGGGUGCGUAGGCGGGCUGUUAAGUCAGCGGUAAAAGCCCGGGGCUCCAACCCCGGCGAGCCGUUGAAACUGGCAGACUUGAGUUGGCGAGAAGUACGCGGAAUGCGCGGUGUAGCGGUGAAAUGCAUAGAUAUCGCGCAGAACUCCGAUUGCGAAGGCAGCGUACCGGCGCCCAACUGACGCUGAAGCACGAAAGCGUGGGUAUCGAACAGG
RNAcentral lists this ribosomal RNA (253 nucleotides) under uncultured Bacteroidales bacterium. RNAcentral describes it as "partial 16S ribosomal RNA". It matches the Rfam family "Bacterial small subunit ribosomal RNA", at positions 524 to 776 of the family's 1533-position model. Lineage: Bacteria; Pseudomonadati; Bacteroidota; Bacteroidia; Bacteroidales. The record is from RNAcentral.